RNAcentral lists this ribosomal RNA (468 nucleotides) under uncultured bacterium. RNAcentral's name for it is "partial 16S ribosomal RNA". It matches the Rfam family "Bacterial small subunit ribosomal RNA", at positions 28 to 507 of the family's 1533-position model. The record is from RNAcentral.
GACGAACGCUGGCGGCGUGCUUAACACAUGCAAGUCGAACGGAAAGGCCCUGCUUUUGUGGGGUGCUCGAGUGGCGAACGGGUGAGUAACACGUGAGUAACCUGCCCUUGACUUUGGGAUAACUUCAGGAAACUGGGGCUAAUACCGGAUAGGAGCUCCUGCUGCAUGGUGGGGGUUGGAAAGUUUCGGCGGUUGGGGAUGGACCCGCGGCUUAUCAGCUUGUUGGUGGGGUAGUGGCUUACCAAGGCUUUGACGGGUAGCCGGCCUGAGAGGGUGACCGGCCACCUUGGGACUGCGAUACGGCCCAGACUCCUACGGGAGGCAGCGGUGGGGAAUAUUGCGCACUGGGCGGAAGCCUGAUGCAGCAACGCCGCGUGCGGGAUGACGGCCUUCGGGUUGUAAUCCGCUUUCGCCUGUGACGAUGCGUGAGUGACGGUAAUGGGUAAAGAAGCACCGGCUAACUACGUG